Nerophis lumbriciformis (worm pipefish) is the source of this 371-nucleotide non-coding RNA. The record is from the annotation of a RefSeq genome assembly. Lineage: Eukaryota; Metazoa; Chordata; Actinopteri; Syngnathiformes; Syngnathidae.
UCAAGAUGUGGCCUGCACCAGUGCUUCUGCUCGUCCAGUCGGCUCUGCUGAUUCAAGGAUCUUCCGCCCAGGAUUCUCAGAUCCAGACGGCCAAAAUCAAGUAUGUCAGUCUUGGUGGGACGGUGACCAUCAGCGCCAAAUGGAGUUCAAAUACUGGUCCUUAUCUCAGUUGGUACCAAGUGAAACCUGGACAGGUUCCUAAACUUCUGAUCUAUGAUGCAUCACAACUUUUUUCUGGAACACCACCUCGAUUCAGUGGCACACGAUCUGGCUCUGACUACACUCUGACUAUCAGUGGUGUUCAGGCAGAAGAUGUCGCUGAUUACUACUGUUUUGCCUAUUUUGGAGGUGGAUUAAAGUAUACACAGUGA